AAAAAGGAGAGAAAAACCAAAGUCAUAGGAAAUUCAGUCCCUUCGCCUUUUUCCCUUCUGUUCUUCUUGCCUCUUUCUCAUCUCUAUCCGUCUCUCCAAAACGCGGAUUCGCCGAUUCUCUCUUAAAAAUCCUAUCUUUUUUUCUUGUAUAGGCCAUAAAGAUUCAACCCCAACAACAAUAAUCAGAAGAAGGAGAAGAGUAAGCCAUUUUUCUGUUCUUUCUCUUUUUCCCCUUCUUUUCGUUUUUCAAUUAAAAAAUAAGAGACUAUUUCUUCUACGAGGAGAUUUUGGAGCUGCAGAGAUCUCAUAUAGAACAAAAAACUGAAAAAAGGGCUUGUGCUGCCUCAAAAUCUCUAUAUUUAGAUCUAAGUUUUGGAGUUAUUUGAUUGGAGGGCUUUCUAAUGGCAUCAGCUGCGAUUUUCUCGUCUCUAAGGCGGCGGAGAUCGCCGUCGUUGGAGGCGUUCUUGGCUCCUGUUGAUUUAACCGAUGUCGCCCUUAUACAAACCCUGGCAUCGGUGUCAACGGAGCUGGUAUCGUGUUUCUCGGGCAAAUCGUUCUUCUUUCAGCGAAAGAAUUCGCGGUCUCUGAUUCGAAAGAUUGAGCUUUUCGUUGUUCUGUUGGAGUAUUUGAGGGAUUCUGGGUCAGGUCCCAAUUUGUCUUCCACGACGAUUGUUUGUUUUAAGGAGCUCUAUUUGCUUUUGUACCGGUCCAAGAUAUUGCUUGAUUAUUGUGCGCAAUCGAGUAAGUUAUGGCUGUUGCUACAAAACCAGUCCAUUUCGGGGCAUUUUCAUGAUCUGAAUCAGGAAAUAUGGACCCUUUUGGACGUUUUUCCUUUGGGAAAUCUUGAAUUGAGCGACGAUGUUCGGGAGCAGAUUGAGCUCAUGCAAAAACAGACGAGGAAAGCAAGGUUAUAUAUUGAUAAAAACGAUGAGGCUUUGCGGGUUAGGCUCUUUUCAUUUCUUGAUGAGUUUGAGAAUGGGAGGAUUUCUAGUGUGGUGGAGCUGAGGUCGUUCUUUGUGGAUAAUUUGGGGAUAAGGGAUGCCAAGAGUUGUAGAACAGAGAUUGAGUUCUUGGAGGAACAGAUUGUUAAUCAUGAGGGAGAUGUUGAACCAACGGCUUCGGUGCUUAAUGGAUUUGUUGCAAUAACACGGUAUUGUAGGUUUUUGCUUUUUGGGUUUGAGACAAAUGAGGUGGAGUUGCAAUUUGGGAGUCAGAAGAAGCCAAGAAAAGGGUUGAUCUCUCAAGAGAUUGCAGACACUUUUAUCUCUAUACCGAAAGAUUUUUGUUGCCCAAUAUCAUUGGAUUUGAUGCGAGAUCCUGUGAUAAUUUCUACAGGGCAGACAUACGAUCGGAGUUCAAUAUCUAGAUGGGUAGAGGAAGGGCAUUCUACGUGCCCCAAGACAGGGCAAAUGCUCACCAACACCCGCCUUGUCCCCAAUCGAGCUUUGAAGAAUUUGAUUGUACAAUGGUGCACUGCUCAUGGAAUCCCUUUUGAGCCCCCAGAGAACACAGAUUCAUCUGCAGAGGCUUUUGCUGCAACGUUGCCUACCAAAGCUGCAAUAGAAGCCAACAGAGCCACAGCAAGACUUCUCAUUCAACAACUGGCAAAUGGGUCACAAGGUGCAAAAACUGUUGCUGCUCGCGAGAUCCGUUUGUUAGCAAAAACAGGAAAAGAAAACCGUGCUUUCAUUGCCGAAGCUGGGGCAAUUCCCCAUCUCCGCAAGCUGCUAUCAUCUUCAAACCCCGUUGCUCAAGAGAAUUCUGUAACAGCAAUGCUUAAUCUUUCAAUUUAUGAUAAGAACAAAAGCCACAUUAUGGAUGAAGAGGGGUGCUUGGGAUCUAUUGUCGAAGUAUUAAGGUUUGGGCUCACUACAGAGGCAAGGGAAAAUGCAGCAGCAACGUUGUUUAGCCUGUCAGCAGUUCAUGAUUACAAGAAGAGAAUAGCAGAUGAGGAAGGGGCUGUGGAAGCCCUGGCAGGGCUGUUGAGAGUGGGGACACCGCGUGGGAAGAAAGAUGCAGUAACUGCUUUGUUUAAUCUGUCAACUCAUACGGAAAAUUGUGCGAGAAUGAUUGAGGCAGGGGCUGUUACAGCACUAGUAGGUGCUCUGGGAAUUGAAGGGGUUGCAGAGGAAGCAGCAGGAGCAUUGGCUUUGAUUGUGAGGCAGCCAAUUGGGGCUGAAGCAGUGGGUAGGGAGGAAAUGGCUGUCACAGGGUUAAUAGGAAUGAUGCGGUGUGGGACUCCAAGAGGGAAAGAAAAUGCUGUUGCAGCCUUGCUUGAGUUGUGCAGGAGUGGUGGGGCGGCUGCGACUGAGAGAGUAAUCCGUGCACCAGCAUUGGCUGGUUUACUGCAGACUUUGCUGUUCACGGGUACAAAGAGAGCAAGAAGGAAGGCAGCAUCACUUGCUAGAGUGUUUCAAAGGUGUGAGAAUUAUGCCUUGCAUUUUGGUGGAUUGGGUGCUGGAUAUGCAUUUGCUGGCAACUCUGCUACAAAUCGGGAUUCAAGUUUCGUUGGUGAUGUCUCAGUGGCCAUGUCCAUCUCAGUACCCGUUUUGUAAUGGUAACAAACAGUCUUGUCGUUGUCUACCAUGAUUAUAUGUGUCCGUUUUUUGGUUCGUAAUAUUUACAAAUUCUUUCAUUGAAAUUUAGAUGAUAAAAGAGAAUUUUACAGAAACACCAUAUCUCGUGUCUUUUGAAAGAAUGAUCAGUGUUAUUGAGCUGUUAGCUCAGAUACAUGUAAUGUCCAGUAAUUUAGAACACCAGAACACAAAUGAUUCAAUAUGAACAGAUAUUAUUAGUAUGUAAUGUCGAGUCAUGUACAACACUUAAAUAUGAUUCAUCCAAAAUUAUGCUAAUCGGACUUCUAUACGUGUGUCAAGAGAGUUUCAUGCAUGGCUGAUCAAGUCUUUGCAUGAAGAAUGCUGGAGAGAGAUGCAACUUAUUAUUUUCUGUUUUCUUAAGCCAUGCUAAUAAAGAGGGCUCCAUAGAAGUGGUUCAUGUCACUUUACUGAGUCCUGAAGUGAU
Molecule: unclassified non-coding RNA, 3021 nt
Filed under: Hevea brasiliensis (rubber tree)
Lineage: Eukaryota; Viridiplantae; Streptophyta; Magnoliopsida; Malpighiales; Euphorbiaceae
Source: RNAcentral